AGUGACGAUUUAUUUAAAAUGUUGUGUUGGCGCCGUGGAUUACACAACACCUCCAAAGAAGAUUAUGACGUCCGUGGACAACUGCACUCCACAUACUUCACAACCGACUUCUCUUGUAUUAUUUUAUUGUUUAUAUUAGUCCACACGGAAUCUUUCAUAUUCAAGAUUGUUGAAUUUUGAUACUAUUAUUUUGUCCGGCAUCUUCAGUGGUCAAACCUUAGCGUUGGCUGUGAUAUGAUAUGUUCAGCUGUCACGAUAGUGGAACUUUAAUUUGUAAAUAAUGUAAGUAAAAUUAUUAUC
Ipomoea nil (Japanese morning glory) is the source of this 300-nucleotide long non-coding RNA. RefSeq lists it as uncharacterized. Lineage: Eukaryota; Viridiplantae; Streptophyta; Magnoliopsida; Solanales; Convolvulaceae. The transcript is spliced from 2 exons. The record is from RefSeq and is a predicted model, not a curated record.